CAGAUGUGGAAUCACGAAGCAGGAGGGUUAGUUCUUUGGAGAAGGAAGAGGAUGAGGUGAGAGGAGCUUCCCAGAAGAGUUACUCAGGCCUGUCAGUGGAUUCUCUGGGCUCUGGUCCUAGUCUUUACCCCAUAUUCAACUGGAUGGCAAGAAGUAGUCUGCUCAGAAGUCUCACUGAGUACAUCUUCCUCAUCUCCUAAGAGCUUGGGUGAAGUGUCAGUGCCUAGGAUUUCAGUUUCACUAGGACUUUUGGAUGAGAGUCUGAUUCCAUCAGUAGGAGAUACCUACGAGAGACUUGCAUUUGAACUGAGUUGUUUAGAGAGAAAAGAAGGGUGUGGGGUAUUCAUCCGGCAGACUUGGAUCUUGUCAGCACCAGCAAGUUCUAGAAUCAACAUCUAUGGUGGCUGCUUCUCAUUAGGCAGAUGGAUUCCUAUGCUGGCAGCUUCCUGAGAUGGCAGAGAGUUGUUGUUCUGAAGGGGCAGCUGUGGUAGCAGCUCCUGAUUCUGCAGCUGCCUCUUGUGCGUGCAUCAGGUGCCUUAACUGUUUAAUUCUGG
This 554-nucleotide long non-coding RNA is filed under the name Capra hircus (goat). Its description in RNAcentral is "lncRNA (ENSCHIG00000004739.1)". Lineage: Eukaryota; Metazoa; Chordata; Mammalia; Artiodactyla; Bovidae. The record is from RNAcentral.